AUACGGAGGAUCCGAGCGUUAUCCGGAUUUAUUGGGUUUAAAGGGUGCGCAGGCGGCCAUUUAAGUCAGCGGUUAAAUCGUGGGGCUCAACCCCAUUCUGCCGUUGAUACUGGGAGGCUUGAUUGCGGUCGAGGUUGGCGGAAUUCGUUGUGUAGCGGUGAAAUGCAUAGAUAUGACGAAGAACACCGAUUGCGUAGGCAGCUGACCAGAUCGCAAAUGACGCUCAUGCACGAAAGUGCGGGGAUCGAACAGGAUUAGAUACCCUGGUAGUCCGCACAGUAAACGAUGAAUACUUGUUUUCGGCGAUAUAAUGUCGGAGGCAAAGCGAAAGCGAUAAGUAUUCCACCUGGGGAGUACGCCGGCAACGGUGAAACUCAAAUGAAUUGACGGGG
Molecule: ribosomal RNA, 392 nt
Filed under: uncultured bacterium
Lineage: Bacteria
Description: partial 16S ribosomal RNA
Rfam family: Bacterial small subunit ribosomal RNA
Source: RNAcentral